Molecule: long non-coding RNA, 1368 nt
Filed under: Homo sapiens (human)
Lineage: Eukaryota; Metazoa; Chordata; Mammalia; Primates; Hominidae
Description: HSALNT0087287
Source: RNAcentral
AGUCUCACUCUGUAGCCCAGGCUGCAGUGCAGUGGGGUGACUUCAGCUCACUGCAACCUCUGCCUCAUGGGUUCAAGUGAUUCUCCUGCCUCAGCCUCCCAACCUCCUGAGUAGCUGGGACUACAGGCACACGCCACCAUGCCUGGCUAAUUUUGUUGCUUUUGUAGAGACAAAGUUAUAUACCAUGUUGCCCGGGCUUAGCUAGUUAUUUUUAAAAGGCUUCUGAAUUUCCUCUCUGCUCAUUUGUAUCUUUCAUUGUAACAUCCUAUGUGAAUUUCUAUAAUUUUGUGUCACAUUGGUGUGUUUGUCUGUUUUGUGUUGCUAUAAAGGAAUACCUGAGGCUUGGUGAUUUAUAAAGAAAAGUUUAUUUGGCUCACUAUUCUGCAGGCUGUACAAGAAGCAUGAUGCCAGCAUCUGCUUCUGGUGACAACCUCAAGAAGUUUACAAUUGGCCGCGUGCGGUGGCUCAUGCCUGUAAUGCCAGCACUUCGGGAGGCGGAGACAGAUGGAUCAUUUGAGGUCAGGAGUUCGAGACCAGGCUGGCCAACAUGGUGAAACCCCAUCUCUACUAAAAAUACAAAAAUUAGCUGGGCAUGGUGGCAUGUGUCUGGAAUCCCUGCUACUCAGGAGGCUGAGGCAAGAGGAUCACUUGGAACUUGGGAGGCAGAGGUUGCUGUGAGCUGAGAUCACACCACUGUACUCCAGCCUGGGCAACAGAGUGAUACUCUAUCUCAAAAAAAAAAGAAAGAAAGAAAGAAAAGAAAAAGAAGCUUACAAUCAUGGUGGAAGGCGAAGAGGAGGAGCAGGCAUAUCACAUGGCCAAAAAGGGAGCAAGAGAAAGGUGAGAAAGACACUAGACUCUUUUUAAAACCAGCUCUCACAUGAGCUAAUGGAAUAAGAACUCACUCAUUACCACAAGGACAGAACCCAGCCAUUCAUGAGGGACCUGCCACCAUGACCCAAAAACCUCCUACUUGACCCAACCUCCAACACUGGGGAUAACAUUUCAACAUGAGAUUUGAAGAGGACAAAUACUCAAACUAUAUCACUUGUUGUCCAUUUUUAAUCUUUCUCUAACAUACCCUAACUUCUUCUUGAAAAUGCUUAAUUUUCUCUGUUUUGAGAUGUAAAUUUGCUAUCCUGUUUUUCUUAAAACUUGGUAAGAUCUUCAGCCAUGAAGGACAGACAAACUGUAACCUUUCCAUUUACAAAGCUGCAUUUGAAUUCAACUGUCCUUUUAAACUAAGGAGUUUUACUGGUCUCGUGGCUAAAAUUUUAAAGAUGUAGGCCAGGUGCAGUGGCUCAUGCCUGUAAUCCUAUCACUUUUGGAGACCAAGGCGGGGAUGGAUCACCUGAGGUCAGGAGUUCA